This 1329-nucleotide unclassified non-coding RNA is filed under the name Hevea brasiliensis (rubber tree). Lineage: Eukaryota; Viridiplantae; Streptophyta; Magnoliopsida; Malpighiales; Euphorbiaceae. The record is from RNAcentral.
UUUUGAGCUAAUUGAAAUCAUGUUGUGCUAAAUCUCUUAUUCUAGGGUUAAGGAUAUAGCAAAUCAACUUGACUAUGGCUGUAAUUUGAUUUUGGUUCAAUAAAAUUUGGAACAUUCAAUCUCUUGUACACUUAAUGCUUGCUUUGUAUUUAGUACCCACUUUGCAUGAUUUUUAUAAAUCAAAUCAAAAGCAAAAAGGUGAGAUUUGUUAUAAAAUAGACAAGAACUGAACCUAGGGUUCUUGACCUAGAGAUAGGCUAAACUCCAUUGAGAAACUACUUUUGUUUGAAUGAUCAAAAUUCUUAAAGGGUCUUACUUAGGUUAAUCCCAUGAAAAUAGGCGUUACGCAACAUAGGAUUAUUCUCCUUCAAAAUAUAAUUUACCCAUAAUUGGCCAAAAUUAUAUUUUAUGCUUAAUUGAUAUUGUGAACCCCAAGCUCUAGAGCUUUCAUAAAGUGGUUGGUAGUUAUUGUGCUUGAGAAUUCCAUUUAGUUAUUAAUUUAGCUUUUAUUCGUUAAUUUAGAUUUAAUUUAGCUUAAUCCAAUAGCAAUCAUCUAAAUAACUAAAAUUAUUAAUAUCCGAUACUCAACACGGUCCUCGAAGGAAUGAUACCUUUUCUAUAUUAAUUGUUAAUAAUCCGUACACUUGUAGGAUUUCACACAGCAAAACAUUAGGAACUUGACAAGUAUUUUUCAAUAACAUGGUUGAACCAAAGGCAUUAUUAACAUAUAUUUAUAGCACUUGCAUUUCCAAUAUUUAAAUUGCUUCUCCUCUUCUUCCAAACAUGUCAUACUUAUAGUCAAUUUCUAUAAUUAUUCUAUAAUAGCAUAAAACCACAAAUUGUUAUGUUGUGAAAGUUGAAAACUAGAGUUCUGAAAAAGGAACAUCAGUACAUGAACCACCACCACAACAACAACAACAACAUAUACCUCUGAGACAUAAAUUGGAACCAAAACUGUGUUCACACCAAUCCCAAGGCCAACAAGAAAUCUCCCCCACAGUAUUUCAUCCAAGGAAUGGGCUUGUGCACUUACAAGUGCACCAAGAAUUAAUGGAAUUGAGUCCAACUGAAAGGUGCGGCGACAUCCGAGUUUGUCCACAAGAAAACCAGAGUUUAUGCUUCCAAUAAAUGCCCCAGUAAUAAAUAUGCUGACCACAAGUCCCUCAAGAAUUGGGUCUCCUUCAAAACCAAGCUCUCGUGCAACAGAAACAAUAGGGCCAUUCAUCACUCCUAUGUGAUAACCAAAGAGGAAAUUCGACAUAGAAGCAAUCAAAGCGUGAGGAAAGGCAGGCAACCAUCCGAAAUCAGCACUUUCACCUUCCUUUUCUU